This 553-nucleotide ribosomal RNA is filed under the name Mictyris guinotae. Its description in RNAcentral is "partial 16S rRNA". It matches the Rfam family "Bacterial large subunit ribosomal RNA", at positions 1829 to 2625 of the family's 2925-position model. The record is from RNAcentral. Lineage: Eukaryota; Metazoa; Arthropoda; Malacostraca; Decapoda; Mictyridae.
GUCUGUUUGGAGAUAUAAAAAGUCUGACCUGCCCACUGAAUAAAUAAAUUGAAGGGCCGCAGUAUUUUAACUGUGCAAAGGUAGCAUAAUAGUUAGGUUUUUAAUUGGAAUCUUGAAUGAAUGGUUCGACAAAAAAAGCGCUGUCUCUAUAAUAAUGCUUGAAUUUAACUUUUAAGUGAAAAGGCUUAAAUAUAUUAAGAAGACGAUAAGACCCUAUAAAGCUUUAUAUGAAUAUUUUAUUAAAAAUAAAUUUACAUAUAAAAUUUUAAUGGAAUAAAAUUAUUAUAUUGGGGCGAUAAAGGUAUAAUUGUUAUUAACUGCUUAAAAAUCAAACAUUAAUAACUGGAAAGUAGAGUAAUAGAUCCUUAGAUAAAGAUUUUAAGUUUAAGUUACUUUAGGGAUAACAGCGUUAUUUUUUUUGAGAGUACUUAUCGAAAAAAAAGUUUGCGACCUCGAUGUUGAAUUAAGAUUUCUUUUUAAUUGUAGCAGUUAAAAAAGAAGGUCUGUUCGACCUUUAAAUUUCUUACAUGAUUUGAGUUCAAACCGGCGUGAG